AGAGAGGGAGAGAGAGUGCGAGCACAUAAUCUGAAAACAAUGCAGGAUGGUGGUGCACAGGUCAAGUCACCAAUGGAAGAAAAAUUCAGGUGACAAAACGAUACAAAUGAAAAUUACUGGGAGUGAGUUGAAGAUUGAGGCUGAAUUAUCCCAUCUAUGGGUGUAACUCUAUUUUGCUGGUAACUGGAGAGAACUCAUUCCUGACGAUUCCCAUCUCUUAAAGGACAAUCUUUAAAGGACGUGAAAAGGCGUUAUAUAUAUAUUAGUGAAUUUGUAUUGUUGCG
Long non-coding RNA from Callorhinchus milii (elephant shark), 284 nucleotides. RefSeq lists it as uncharacterized. Lineage: Eukaryota; Metazoa; Chordata; Chondrichthyes; Chimaeriformes; Callorhinchidae. The record is from RefSeq and is a predicted model, not a curated record. The transcript is spliced from 3 exons.